GAUAACGCUGGCGGCGUGCUUCAGGCAUGCAAGUCGAACGGACCUUCGGGUCAGUGGCGGACGGGUGAGUAACACGUAAGCAACCUGCCCAGAAGUGGGGAAUAACCCACCGAAAGGUGAGCUAAUACCGCAUGUGAUGGGCCUUCUCUGGAGGGUUCAUUAAAGGUUUCGGCCGCUUUUGGAGGGGCUUGCGCUCGAUUAGCUAGUUGGUGGGUAAUGGCCUACCAAGGCUGCGAUCGAUAGCUGGUCUGAGAGGACGGUCAGCCACACGGGGGACUGAGAUACGGCCCCGACUCCUACGGGUGGCUG
Molecule: ribosomal RNA, 309 nt
Filed under: uncultured Chloroflexota bacterium
Lineage: Bacteria; Bacillati; Chloroflexota
Description: bacterial SSU rRNA
Rfam family: Bacterial small subunit ribosomal RNA
Source: RNAcentral